This 253-nucleotide ribosomal RNA is filed under the name uncultured bacterium. RNAcentral describes it as "partial 16S ribosomal RNA". It matches the Rfam family "Bacterial small subunit ribosomal RNA", at positions 524 to 776 of the family's 1533-position model. The record is from RNAcentral.
UACGAGGGGGGCGAGCGUUGUUCGGAAUUAUUGGGCGUAAAGAGCGCGCAGGCGGUCGUUCAAGUCGCGUGUGAAAGCCCCCGGCUCAACUGGGGAGGGUCACGCGAUACUGAUCGACUCGAAGGCAGGAGAGGGUAGUGGAAUUCCCGGUGUAGUGGUGAAAUGCGUAGAUAUCGGGAGGAACACCAGUGGCGAAGGCGGCUUCCCGGACCGGUUCUGACACUGAGGAGCGAAAGCGUGGGGAGCGAUCCGG